UAAGGAAUAUUGGGCAAUGGGCGAGAGCCUGACCCAGCCAUGCCGCGUGCAGGAAGACGGCCCUAUGGGUUGUAAACUGCUUUUAUACGGGAAUAAAGUUGGGUAUGUAUACUCAUUGC
RNAcentral lists this ribosomal RNA (119 nucleotides) under uncultured bacterium. RNAcentral describes it as "partial 16S ribosomal RNA". It matches the Rfam family "Bacterial small subunit ribosomal RNA", at positions 355 to 472 of the family's 1533-position model. The record is from RNAcentral.